UACGUAGGUGGCAAGCGUUGUCCGGAUUUAUUGGGUUUAAAGGGUGCGUAGGCGGCCCUGUAAGUCAGUGGUGAAAUACUCCAGCUUAACUGGAGGGGUGCCAUUGAUACUGCAGGGCUUGAGUGGAGUCGAGGUAGGCGGAAUUGACGGUGUAGCGGUGAAAUGCUUAGAUAUCGUCAAGAACACCGAUAGUGUAGACAGCUUACUAGGCUUCAACUGACGCUGAGGCACGAAAGUGUGGUGAUCAAACAGG
RNAcentral lists this ribosomal RNA (253 nucleotides) under uncultured bacterium. RNAcentral describes it as "partial 16S ribosomal RNA". It matches the Rfam family "Bacterial small subunit ribosomal RNA", at positions 524 to 776 of the family's 1533-position model. The record is from RNAcentral.